This 348-nucleotide ribosomal RNA is filed under the name Triticum aestivum (bread wheat). Its description in RNAcentral is "partial small subunit ribosomal RNA". The record is from RNAcentral. Lineage: Eukaryota; Viridiplantae; Streptophyta; Magnoliopsida; Poales; Poaceae.
AUGAAGCUUCUUGAGUACCUACAGAAAAUCAGGACCGGGAGGAUGUUUGGGCCUGUAGUUGCUGGUACUAUACCCAGUGCCUUCACUCCCCUAUUAAACAUUUUCUUAGCCAUGUAUGUUAAUUUUACCGCUUUUCAUUUAACUUCCUAUUUUUCAGUUAUCCACACAGUGGAGUUUCAGAAGAGGGAGCUGCCACAUGCGCGUAUCCUUGUUUGGCAAAAGAAGCAUCAUGACCGGGUGGUCACACCAACUUUCAUAAAUUCCUUUGUUUCAAUCGCUGUUAGUAUUUCUAUUGGAUCUAGCUCCCUCUUUAUCUUUGUUGGUUUCCUCUUGCAUGGUUCCCAAUAA